CGGCCCCAACGCUCCAUGCAAGCUUUCAACGAUGCCCUCUCUGACUGUGGAAUGGACGACCUUGGUUACAUUGGCGACAUAUUCUCAUGGCGACGAGGAAACAUACGAGAGCGUUUAGAUCGUGCAACCAGUAACAUUCGAUGGGCGGACAUGUUCCCUGGUUAUGGUGUGUCGAAUGAGGAUUUCGAUAAAUCCGAUCAUCGGUCGGUUCUU
Molecule: ribosomal RNA, 213 nt
Filed under: Triticum aestivum (bread wheat)
Lineage: Eukaryota; Viridiplantae; Streptophyta; Magnoliopsida; Poales; Poaceae
Description: partial small subunit ribosomal RNA
Source: RNAcentral